This 296-nucleotide ribosomal RNA is filed under the name uncultured bacterium. RNAcentral describes it as "partial 16S ribosomal RNA". It matches the Rfam family "Bacterial small subunit ribosomal RNA", at positions 333 to 626 of the family's 1533-position model. The record is from RNAcentral.
UCUGUCCUACGGGACGCAGCAGUGAGGAAUAUUGGUCAAUGGGCGGAAGCCUGAACCAGCCAAGUCGCGUGAGGGAAGAAGGCCCUGCGGGUCGCAGACCUCUUUGGACGGGGAGCAAGGCCGCCGACGUGUCGGCGGAAGGAGAGUACCCGUAGAACAAGCAUCGGCUAACUCCGUGCCAGCAGCCGCGGUAAUACGGAGGAUGCGAGCGUUAUCCGGAUUUAUUGGGUUUAAAGGGUGCGCAGGCGGCACGGCAAGCUGGCGGUCAAAUCUCGGGGCUCAACCCCGCCCAGCCG